This 981-nucleotide long non-coding RNA is filed under the name Phasianus colchicus (ring-necked pheasant). Its description in RNAcentral is "lncRNA (ENSPCLG00000000277.1)". Lineage: Eukaryota; Metazoa; Chordata; Aves; Galliformes; Phasianidae. The record is from RNAcentral.
GGGAGAAUGGUUUAGCUGAGCAAAAGUUUUGGGGUUGGAUAUAUAGCAGUGGUUAGAGACAGAGACAGCAGCACGGAGGUGAGAGGUUUCUGUCCCCUAGCUGUUUGCUAUUGACCACAGCAAUUUGGGUGGUACAUACGUUCUGCCAGUGCUUCCCAUGGGCAUUAGUGCAAGUCAGUGGCUUUACUCACUGCUGUAGCAGCUUGCCUGGAGAAGCAGAGGUGCUGAAGGUGGUUUGCUUGAGCCAGACUGCAACUCCAGCUUUGAGAUUCUAACAGUGCCAUGUCUGGAGUAAGAGAAGAGGGAAAUGUAUUGUUUCCAUGUUGUGGCAGAAGCCCGUUGUGCUUCAAACAUGUGCAUACAUAAAUAAAUUACAAUCAAAAUAAGUAGCAAGGGAAGUAUUACUAUUCAUAUUUUAGAGGCGAGGAACCAAGCCAUAAAGGGAUACAGUGAGCAGGUCCCCUACAGACAUGCUAUAAUGUAAGAACUGGCAACAAAACUCAGGAUUUAUCACUACUACCAUUUUACAGAUGGAAACACCAAGUCAGAGGGCAAUGCUGGCUUGCACAAAGCUUCACAGAUUAUUUGUAGGAAACCCAGGACCUGAAUCUGGAGCUACUGUGCCCUGGUCAGCAGUUUUCCCAAGGGAAUCACUGAUAAGGAGGGACUGUGGUGACCAACACCUUGGCAUGAUGUCUCAUGUAUCUCAGAGCAGUUAUGCAAGCAUGCUUUCCUCCCCAAUGCCACAUAUGUGGGUAAACCAUAGCACAAGGAGGUAAGACAAUCCCAAGAAGAAAUAAGAAAAGCCUUUGGCGAAUCCGUGAUAGGCAUAACAUCUUGAACCUGCACCUCACCAGUUGAUCAAGGCCUUCAGAUCACCUGAAGAAUCUGCUGCAGCAUUCGGUGCACAUAUUAUCCUUCUUCAAAGGAGCAACAGUGUGCACAUCAUUAAAAAUAAAUAUUUCAUGCUGAUCUUUCCCA